Cricetulus griseus (Chinese hamster) is the source of this 98-nucleotide ribosomal RNA. NCBI's taxonomy places the organism in Eukaryota, Metazoa, Chordata, Mammalia, Rodentia, Cricetidae. The record is from Ensembl.
AUCUACAGCCAUACCACCUGAACAUAGCUGACCUCAUCUGACCUCAGAGGCUAAGCAAUAGGGCCUGGUCAGAACUCGGAUACAAGAUAGCAGUGAUA